AUUGAACGCUGGCGGCAUGCUUUACACAUGCAAGUCGAACGGUAACAGCACUUCGGUGGCUGACGAGUGGCGAACGGGUGAGUAAUACAUCGGAACGUGCCUAGUAGUGGGGGAUAACUACUCGAAAGAGUAGCUAAUACCGCAUGAGAUCUAAGGAUGAAAGCAGGGGACCUUCGGGCCUUGCGCUACUAGAGCGGCCGAUGGCAGAUUAGGUAGUUGGUGGGAUAAAGCUUACCAAGCCGACGAUCUGUAGCUGGUCUGAGAGGACGACCAGCCACACUGGGACUGAGACACGGCCCAGACUCCUACGGGAGGCAGCAGUGGGGAAUUUUGGACAAUGGGCGCAAGCCUGAUCCAGCAAUGCCGCGUGCAGGAUGAAGGCCUUCGGGUUGUAAACUGCUUUUGUACGGAACGAAAAGCCCUCUUCUAAUACAGGAGGGUCAUGACGGUACCGUAAGAAUAAGCACCGGCUAACUACGUG
Molecule: ribosomal RNA, 481 nt
Filed under: uncultured bacterium
Lineage: Bacteria
Description: partial 16S ribosomal RNA
Rfam family: Bacterial small subunit ribosomal RNA
Source: RNAcentral